CUUGUACUUCACAUUUAAAGCCAUCGGCUGCCAUCACCCGAAACGACUUGCAAACUUCAUCCGUUCUCAUAUAAAUAGUCGCGGAGUUUAUUCAUCACGUUACCGCACUCUUCCCACACUCGCGAGGACAUCGGAGGGCUGCCGGAACAUGAAGACGACACCGGAGCCAACCGGAGUUUUCGCUCAACGUUUCGGGUAACACUUUGGAAUUCUCUCGACGCCUACGUUACUUACAGUUUAGUUUGGUUUUGCUUGCAACCUAAGGUACACAAGGUUGAUAGCUACUUGAGAAGAUACAUAGGAUUGU
Molecule: long non-coding RNA, 307 nt
Filed under: Helianthus annuus (common sunflower)
Lineage: Eukaryota; Viridiplantae; Streptophyta; Magnoliopsida; Asterales; Asteraceae
Description: sRNA HanXRQr2_Chr04g0164811
Source: RNAcentral